Molecule: long non-coding RNA, 2115 nt
Filed under: Brassica rapa (field mustard)
Lineage: Eukaryota; Viridiplantae; Streptophyta; Magnoliopsida; Brassicales; Brassicaceae
Description: long non-coding RNA (BRAP_LNC007413)
Source: RNAcentral
AACACCAAAGUUUAACUUCAAAUUUUGAAAUUCAGUGAAACAAAUAAGAAAGACUUUUAGUUACAAGAGUAUAUCAUUGACAUAUUUACAAGUAUAUCAUUUGUUUUUAUACAAGUAUAACAAAUCAAUGAAUAUACAAGUACAUAUAUACAUAUGUCUAAAGUAUCUAAUUUCAUGAGGGAAAUUCUUUUAGUAUCUCCGAUUCCAGUCAAACUUUUUGUGAAGUUUAGGAUAUUCUCGAUUUUGAUGAUAGAUGCCAUCAUCUUUAGCAAUAUAGCUAUAUGUGUGUCCGUGAGGCUCUCUAUUGUCCUCCACAUAGGCAUCAAACGUUGACGAGAUCUUAUAAUCAGGUCCUUUGCUCAGGGUGCACCAGAAAAGCGUAUUUCCCAUAAAGUUAUCGUGGAAACUGAAAUAGUAGAAUCCCUCUGGUUUCAGAUAGUGGAAACCCAUAUUGUUGUUCCCUGAUUUACAAUGUACCUUGAGCCAUUUCCUGUAACGAAGGCGGUUCACGAAUAAGAGUGUUGUAUUGGCCCGUUGAAAUAUAUUGGCACCUACAUUGCCGAUCAUGCAAAGGGUAAGAACAAAUAGAAAGAAUGAAGUACUUUUCAUUUUUUUCUUUCUUUCUAGAUGUUUUAGAUAUAUAUUUAUGUAUUGUUAAAACUCGUGUUUGUGUUUGUGGUGUUAUAUAUACACAUAGUAUUGCUAUUUUUGAGUUUUCACAGUAUCUUCUUACUCUAUUAUUGGAAGUUUUCUAUUAAUGAUUUUAUCUAGUCGUUUCGAAAAAAUAGAUUGAUCCCAUAAAGUUUUCAAGAUUUUUUCCAAUGGCCUCCUCCCUAUUUUGGUAUGUUCCUCUCUUGUUGGUCAAGUUUGUUUUAUAGACUCUCCUUUUAAUCGAGUACUUAAGUUACAUUAAACUAGAUUGUACGAAUAUAGAUAAUAAUGAAAACAUAAUAAUAAAAGCAUGGAGAAAAAAUAGAAACUAAAUGUGAUGAUGAGAGACGAUAUAACAACAAUAGGUAAGAGAAACAUCAAAAUGGUAUAGAAGCAAGCACACCAACAAAAUAGCCCUUUACAAGAAGAAAUAAAAAAACAAAAUCGAACAAUAGUUCGUGAUGGUGGUCGUUAUAGAGUAUUUCACUUCUCGGAUUAUGUUAACGUGAAUAAAGACAAACUAUCGAUCACUAUUCUUCUAGUUCUCCGAAGCCUUGUCUCGAGCUGCAAAAAUGAUGCAGAAAUCAUCUAAAAAUGAAAGUUAUAAGUAGAUUAUAAUCCCAUUCCCAUAUCAAAUAUUGUUUUGACAAUCUUUUUUUUUAACACCAAUGUCAUCUCUACUUUCUUAUGUGUUUUUUUUGGGUUUAUUUAUUGUCGUUAUUAUUAAACUUCUCUUAAAAGAAUCUGAAAACGGUAAAAAAGACUACCACAUGCGUAUACGUGACUAUAUUUUAAAUUUAUAAAUAGUAUUCAUUGCAUGUAACUUAGAGCUUAUUAAUAAAUCUGGGUCGGAAUUGUAUGUUAAGUGUUUGGAGAUUGAUUUAGUUCGCAUAUGCUAAAUUGGCUUGUUAAGGGUUUUCAGAUCAUUUCGCGUCACGAUCUAACGAAGAAACGAUAGAAAAAUUUAACUUUUAGAAAAUAUAUACUGAAUAACACCAAAGUUUAAUUUAUAAAUUUUAAAUACAGUGAAACAAAUAAGAACAAUUUUUCCAAGUAUAUCAUUGAUAUAUUUACAAGUAUAUCACUGGUUUUUACAAAUAUAACAAAUAAAUGGUGUUAAUAUAUAAGUACAUAUAUUAGUUUGAUCAAAAAAAAAAAAUAAGUACAUAUAUUGAAAACAUCUGAUAACAGGGGAGAUUUAGUUUGUGAUCUCUAUUUCCAGUCAAACUUCUUGUGAAGUUUAAAUUCCACAAGAUUACUGUGAUAGAUGCCAUCAUCUUUAGCAAGAUAGUUAUAUGACUUUCCGUGAGGCUUAUCCUUGUUCUGUUUAUAGGCGUCAAACCUAGAAGAGACCUUAUAAUCAGGUCCUUUGCUCAGGGUACACCAGAUAAGCGUACCCCCCAAAACGUUGUCGUGGAAACUGAAUGUGUAAUCGCUUGCACCAGGUUUCAGAUAGUGGACACC